CCUACGGGAGGCAGCAGUGAGGAAUAUUGGUCAAUGGGCGCGAGCCUGAACCAGCCAAGCAGCGUGAAGGAUGACUGCCCUACGGGUUGUAAACUUCUUUUAUAAAGGAAUAAAGUGAGGCGCGUGUGCCUUUUUGUUUGUACUUUAUGAAUAAGGAUAGGCUAACUCCGUGCCAGCAGACGCGGUAAUACGGAGGAUCCGAGCGUUAUCCGGAUUUAUUGGGUUUAAAGGGAGCGUAGAGGGGUUGUUAAGUCAGUUGUGAAAGUUUGCGGCUCAACCGUAAUAUUGCAAUUGAUACUGGCAGUCUUGAGUACAGUUGAGGUAGGCGGAAUUCGUGGUGUAGCGGUGAAAUGCUUAGAUAUCACGAAGAACUCCGAUUGCGAAGGCAGCUUACUAGACUGCCACUGACAUUGAUGCUCGAAAGUGUGGGUAUCAAACAGGAUUAGAUACCCCUGUAGUC
Molecule: ribosomal RNA, 460 nt
Filed under: uncultured bacterium
Lineage: Bacteria
Description: partial 16S ribosomal RNA
Rfam family: Bacterial small subunit ribosomal RNA
Source: RNAcentral